Long non-coding RNA from Bombina bombina (fire-bellied toad), 156 nucleotides. RefSeq lists it as uncharacterized. The record is from RefSeq and is a predicted model, not a curated record. NCBI's taxonomy places the organism in Eukaryota, Metazoa, Chordata, Amphibia, Anura, Bombinatoridae. The transcript is spliced from 3 exons.
CCAUUGCCCACAGUUUUUAUGGAUAAAGAUAGGACUCAAGACACAGAAAAUAGCACUCCAAAUAAUAAUCCAAUGGAUGAGCAAGGAGAAGAAGAUAUGGAUAACAUUGCAGGACAUGUAGAGCUUACAGAGUCAGAAAUUGAGGAUACUAUGCAU